CCCUUAGAUGUUCUGGGCUGCACGCGCGUUACACUGACACACCCAGCGAGUCUCCUGCCCUGACAGGGUUGGGUAAUCAUUGGGGUGUGUGUCGUGAUGGGGAUAGAGUAUUGCAAUUAUUGCUCUCGAACGAGGAAUUCCUAGUAAGCACAAGUCAGCAGCUUGUGCUGAUUACGUCCCUGCCCUUUGUACACACCGCCCGUCGCUCCUACCGAGGGGGUGAUCCGGUGAAUGAUUCGGACUUUGGCGUUUCUAGCUGCUAGCAGCGCUGAAGAAAGUUUUGUGAACCUUAUCACUUGGAGGAAGGAGAAGUCGUAACA
This 320-nucleotide ribosomal RNA is filed under the name uncultured eukaryote. RNAcentral describes it as "partial 18S ribosomal RNA". It matches the Rfam family "Eukaryotic small subunit ribosomal RNA", at positions 1470 to 1796 of the family's 1831-position model. The record is from RNAcentral.